This 139-nucleotide ribosomal RNA is filed under the name uncultured eukaryote. RNAcentral describes it as "partial 18S ribosomal RNA". It matches the Rfam family "Eukaryotic small subunit ribosomal RNA", at positions 1299 to 1458 of the family's 1831-position model. The record is from RNAcentral.
UGGUGGAGUGAUUUGUCUGGUUAAUUCCGUUAACGAACGAGACCUCGACUUACUAACUAGUUUGCCAAACCUUUGGGUUUGCGUAAGCUUCUUAGAAGGACUAUCGGUUUUUCGCCGACGGAAGCUCGAGGCAAUAACA